UGGUUGUCAAAUCUCUUCUUAAAGACCUCCAGUGUUGGAGCACCCACAACUUCUGGAGGCAAAAUGGAUCAGACAAAGCUGAUUAAGAGUAUAGUUGGAGUUACAAGAUUUUUCCUUCAAAGGCACAUGAACUUGGCAGUCAUGGCUGUCCCAAAUCAACUUUUCUUCAGAUGAAGUAUUCCAGAUUCCUUCUUCAGUCUGUCCUCAUAGAGCAUAUUCCCAUGUUCCUGAAUCAUCUUCACUGACCUCCUCUGAACCUUUUUUAACCUGUUAAUAGCCUUCUGGGAAGGUGGUGCCCAGAAUUGUACACAGUACUCCAGGUGCAAUCUCACCAAUGCCAAUCAGAGAGAAAUAAUAGCUUCAGCUGUCUUUGAUAUGGUGCUUCUUAUUCUAAUACAUCCCAGUAUUAUGUGAACCCUUCUAGCAACUGACUCAUGUUCAGCUUGGGGGCAAAGUGCACACCCAAGCUGUUCUCAGAUGUAAUUUCCCAAGUCAUGAAUCUCCUACUUCAUAUGUGUGUUCUACAUUUUAUGUCCAUAACUGUAAUAACCUACAUUUGCUCUUGUUAAAAGACAUAUUGUUCUUUCAACCUCAAUUUGUUAUCCUAGGUAUUGAUCAGACCUCCCAGUGUUGUAUUAUUUGCUGUUUGACAAGCAGCUAUCAAUCCCAUCAUCCAGAUCAUUAAUAAAAAUAUUAAAUAAGAUAACAUUACAUACCCCUGAUCCCAAGACUGGCCCUACA
Molecule: long non-coding RNA, 741 nt
Organism: Pantherophis guttatus
Lineage: Eukaryota; Metazoa; Chordata; Lepidosauria; Squamata; Colubridae
Source: RefSeq, a predicted model, not a curated record